GAUUCGUCACACUAUCAUUAACUGAAUCCAUAGGUUAAUGAGGCGAACCGGGGGAACUGAAACAUCUAAGUACCCCGAGGAAAAGAAAUCAACCGAGAUUCCCCCAGUAGCGGCGAGCGAACGGGGAGCAGCCCAGAGCCUGAAUCAGUGUGUGUGUUAGUGGAAGCGUCUGGAAAGGCGUGCGAUACAGGGUGACAGCCCCGUACACAAAAAUGCACAUAUUGUGAGCUCGAUGAGUAGGGCGGGACACGUGGUAUCCUGUCUGAAUAUGGGGGGACCAUCCUCCAAGGCUAAAUACUCCUGACUGACCGAUAGUGAACCAGUACCGUGAGGGAAAGGCGAAAAGAACCCCGGCGAGGGGAGUGAAAAAGAACCUGAAACCGUGUACGUACAAGCAGUGGGAGCACGCUUAGGCGUGUGACUGCGUACCUUUUGUAUAAUGGGUCAGCGACUUAUAUUCUGUAGCAAGGUUAACCGAAUAGGGGAGCCGAAGGGAAACCGAGUCUUAACUGGGCGUUAAGUUGCAGGGUAUAGACCCGAAACCCGGUGAUCUAGCCAUGGGCAGGUUGAAGGUUGGGUAACACUAACUGGAGGACCGAACCGACUAAUGUUGAAAAAUUAGCGGAUGACUUGUGGCUGGGGGUGAAAGGCCAAUCAAACCGGGAGAUAGCUGGUUCUCCCCGAAAGCUAUUUAGGUAGCGCCUCGUGAAUUCAUCUCCGGGGGUAGAGCACUGUUUCGGCAAGGGGGUCAUCCCGACUUACCAACCCGAUGCAAACUGCGAAUACCGGAGAAUGUUAUCACGGGAGACACACGGCGGGUGCUAACGUCCGUCGUGAAGAGGGAAACAACCCAGACCGCCAGCUAAGGUCCCAAAGUCAUGGUUAAGUGGGAAACGAUGUGGGAAGGCCCAGACAGCCAGGAUGUUGGCUUAGAAGCAGCCAUCAUUUAAAGAAAGCGUAAUAGCUCACUGGUCGAGUCGGCCUGCGCGGAAGAUGUAACGGGGCUAAACCAUGCACCGAAGCUGCGGCAGCGACGCUUAUGCGUUGUUGGGUAGGGGAGCGUUCUGUAAGCCUGUGAAGGUGUACUGUGAGGUAUGCUGGAGGUAUCAGAAGUGCGAAUGCUGACAUAAGUAACGAUAAAGCGGGUGAAAAGCCCGCUCGCCGGAAGACCAAGGGUUCCUGUCCAACGUUAAUCGGGGCAGGGUGAGUCGACCCCUAAGGCGAGGCCGAAAGGCGUAGUCGAUGGGAAACAGGUUAAUAUUCCUGUACUUGGUGUUACUGCGAAGGGGGGACGGAGAAGGCUAUGUUGGCCGGGCGACGGUUGUCCCGGUUUAAGCGUGUAGGCUGGUUUUCCAGGCAAAUCCGGAAAAUCAAGGCUGAGGCGUGAUGACGAGGCACUACGGUGCUGAAGCAACAAAUGCCCUGCUUCCAGGAAAAGCCUCUAAGCAUCAGGUAACAUCAAAUCGUACCCCAAACCGACACAGGUGGUCAGGUAGAGAAUACCAAGGCGCUUGAGAGAACUCGGGUGAAGGAACUAGGCAAAAUGGUGCCGUAACUUCGGGAGAAGGC
Molecule: ribosomal RNA, 1569 nt
Filed under: Escherichia coli
Lineage: Bacteria; Pseudomonadati; Pseudomonadota; Gammaproteobacteria; Enterobacterales; Enterobacteriaceae
Description: partial 23S ribosomal RNA
Rfam family: Bacterial large subunit ribosomal RNA
Source: RNAcentral